UGGCCAGAGCCCUCGAUGGGGAAAUGGAGC
Molecule: non-coding RNA, 30 nt
Filed under: Rattus norvegicus (Norway rat)
Lineage: Eukaryota; Metazoa; Chordata; Mammalia; Rodentia; Muridae
Source: RNAcentral